AGCGAACGCUGGCGGCAGGCUUAACACAUGCAAGUCGAGCGGGCACUUUCGGGUGUCAGCGGCGGACGGGUGAGUAACGCGUGGGAACGUGCCCUCUGGUUCGGAAUAACUCAGGGAAACUUGAGCUAAUACCGGAUACGCCCUUUUGGGGAAAGGCUUGCUGCCGGAGGAUCGGCCCGCGUCUGAUUAGCUAGUUGGUGAGGUAACGGCUCACCAAGGCGACGAUCAGUAGCUGGUCUGAGAGGAUGAUCAGCCACACUGGGACUGAGACACGGCCCAGACUCCUACGGGAGGCAGCAGUGGGGAAUAUUGGACAAUGGGCGCAAGCCUGAUCCAGCCAUGCCGCGUGAGUGAUCAAGGCCUUAGGGUUGUAAAGCUCUUUUAUCCGGGACGAUAAUGGCGGUACCGGAGGAAUAAGCCCCGGCUAACUUCGUG
RNAcentral lists this ribosomal RNA (435 nucleotides) under uncultured bacterium. RNAcentral's name for it is "partial 16S ribosomal RNA". It matches the Rfam family "Bacterial small subunit ribosomal RNA", at positions 29 to 507 of the family's 1533-position model. The record is from RNAcentral.